This 495-nucleotide ribosomal RNA is filed under the name uncultured bacterium. RNAcentral's name for it is "bacterial SSU rRNA". It matches the Rfam family "Bacterial small subunit ribosomal RNA", at positions 28 to 518 of the family's 1533-position model. The record is from RNAcentral.
GAUGAACGCUAGCGGCAGGCUUAACACAUGCAAGUCGAGGGGCAACACGGGUAGCAAUACCUGGUGGCGACCGGCGCAAGGGUGCGUAACGCGUGAGCAACAUGCCCUAUACAGGGGGAUAAUCCAGGGAAACUUGGUCUAAUAUCCCAUAGUAUUUAGAGGUGGCAUCACCACUAAAUUAAAGCUUCGGUGGUAUAGGAUUGGCUCGCGUGACAUUAGCUUGAUGGUGGGGUAACGGCUCACCAUGGCGAUGAUGUCUAGGGGUUCUGAGAGGAAGACCCCCCACACUGGGACUGAGACACGGCCCAGACUCCUACGGGAGGCAGCAGUGAGGAAUAUUGGUCAAUGGACGCAAGUCUGAACCAGCCAUGCCGCGUGCAGGAUGACGGCCCUAUGGGUUGUAAACUGCUUUUCCACGGGAAGAACCCUCCGACGUGUCGGAGACUGACGGUACCGUGGGAAUAAGCAUCGGCUAACUCCGUGCCAGCCAGCCGC